This 425-nucleotide ribosomal RNA is filed under the name uncultured bacterium. Its description in RNAcentral is "bacterial SSU rRNA". It matches the Rfam family "Bacterial small subunit ribosomal RNA", at positions 359 to 776 of the family's 1533-position model. The record is from RNAcentral.
GAAUCUUCCGCAAUGGACGAAAGUCUGACGGAGCAACGCCGCGUGAGUGAAGAAGGUUUUCGGAUCGUAAAGCUCUGUUGUCAGGGAAGAACAAGUACCAUAGUAACUGAUGGUACCUUGACGGUACCUGACCAGAAAGCCACGGCUAACUACGUUCCAGCCGCCGCGGUAAUACGUAGGUGGCAAGCGUUGUCCGGAAUUAUUGGGCGUAAAGCGCGCGCAGGUGGUUCCAAAAGUCUGAUGUGAAAGCCCCCGGCUCAACCGGGGAGGGUCAUUGGAAACUGGGGAACUUGAGUGCAGGAGAGGAAAGUAGAAUUCCACGUGUAGCGGUGAAAUGCGUAGAUAUGUGGAGGAACACCAGUGGCGAAGGCGACUUUCUGGCCUGUAACUGACACUGAGGCGCGAAAGCGUGGGGAGCAAACAGG